RNAcentral lists this ribosomal RNA (558 nucleotides) under Turdus pilaris. RNAcentral's name for it is "partial 16S ribosomal RNA". It matches the Rfam family "Bacterial large subunit ribosomal RNA", at positions 852 to 1897 of the family's 2925-position model. Lineage: Eukaryota; Metazoa; Chordata; Aves; Passeriformes; Turdidae. The record is from RNAcentral.
GUUGCCUGUGAAACGAAUCUAAGUUCACUCUUAAUUCUUCUCCAAGGAAAAUCAAACCCUAAUGAAGCGGAUUAAGGGCUAUUUAAAGGGGGUACAGCUCCUUUAAAAAAGAAUACAAUCUCUACGAGCGGAUAAAUAACCUUCACAAAAACCUAUUGUGGGCCCUCAAGCAGCCAUCAACAAAGAGUGCGUUAAAGCUCCGUAUCCUAAAAAUAUAAGAACAAUAUGAAUCCCUCCUCACUAACAGGCCAACCUAUACCCAAAUAGGAGAAUUAAUGCUAGAAUGAGUAACCAGGGUCCUCCCUCUACGACGCAAGCUUACAUCAGUACAUUAUUAACAAAUACCCAAUAUACGACCAAUACAACAAGCAGAGUAUUAAGUACAUUGUUAACCCGACAGAGGAGCGUCCAUUAAGAAAGAUUAAAACCUGCAAAAGGAACUAGGCAAACCCGUCAAGGCCCGACUGUUUACCAAAAACAUAGCCUUCAGCAAACCAAAGCAAGUAUUGAAGGUGAUGCCUGCCCGGUGACCUGAGGUUCAACGGCCGCGGUAUCCUA